GCCCAGAUGGCGGAAUCGGUAGACGCGCUGGUCUCAAACACCAGUGGGGCAACCCGUGCCGGUUCGAUCCCGGCUCUGGGUA
Molecule: transfer RNA, 82 nt
Filed under: Bacteroidales bacterium
Lineage: Bacteria; Pseudomonadati; Bacteroidota; Bacteroidia; Bacteroidales
Also listed under: 1 other name
Description: tRNA-Leu
Rfam family: tRNA
About the family: Transfer RNA (tRNA) molecules are approximately 80 nucleotides in length.
Source: RNAcentral